CCUACGGGAGGCAGCAGUAGGGAAUAUUCCACAAUGGGCGAAAGCCUGAUGGAGCAACGCCGCGUGGGUGAAGAAGGUCUUCGGAUCGUAAAACCCUGUUGUUAGAGAAGAAAGUGCGUGAGAGUAACUGUUCACGUUUCGACGGUAUCUAAACAGAAAGCCACGGCUAACUACGUGCCAGCAGCCGCGGUAAUACGUAGGUGGCAAGCGUUAUCCGGAUUUAUUGGGCGUAAAGGGAACGCAGGCGGUUUUGUAAGUCGGAUGUGAAAGCCUUCGGCUUAACCGGAGUAGUGCAUUGGAAACUGGGAGUCUUGAGUGAAGAAGAGGAGAGUGGAAUUCCAGGUGUAGCGGUGAAAUGCGUAGAUAUAUGGAAGAACACCAGUGGCGAAAGCGGCCUUCUGGUCUGUAACUGACGCUGAGGUUCGAAAGCGUGGGUAGCAAACAGGAUUAGAUACCCCAGUAGUC
This 465-nucleotide ribosomal RNA is filed under the name uncultured bacterium. RNAcentral describes it as "partial 16S ribosomal RNA". It matches the Rfam family "Bacterial small subunit ribosomal RNA", at positions 338 to 795 of the family's 1533-position model. The record is from RNAcentral.